RNAcentral lists this ribosomal RNA (708 nucleotides) under gamma proteobacterium IMCC14766. Its description in RNAcentral is "bacterial SSU rRNA". It matches the Rfam family "Bacterial small subunit ribosomal RNA", at positions 44 to 743 of the family's 1533-position model. The record is from RNAcentral. Lineage: Bacteria; Pseudomonadati; Pseudomonadota; Gammaproteobacteria.
AGGCUUAACACAUGCAAGUCGAACGGUAACAUAGCUAGCUUGCUAGCUGAUGACGAGUGGCGGACGGGUGAGUAACGCGUAGGAAUCUACCUAUUAGUGGGGGACAACCUGGUGAAAACCAGGCUAAUACCGCAUACGCCCUACGGGGGAAAGCAGGGGAUCUUCGGACCUUGCGCUAUUAGAUGAGCCUGCGUUAGAUUAGCUUGUUGGUGAGGUAAUGGCUCACCAAGGCGACGAUCUAUAGCUGGUCUGAGAGGAUGAUCAGCCACACUGGGACUGAGACACGGCCCAGACUCCUACGGGAGGCAGCAGUGGGGAAUAUUGCGCAAUGGGCGAAAGCCUGACGCAGCCAUACCGCGUGUGUGAAGAAGGGUUUAGGCUCGUAAAGCACUUUAAGUAGGGAGGAAGGCCUGUAAAUUAAUACUUUGCAGGAUUGACGUUACCUACAGAAUAAGCACCGGCUAACUCCGUGCCAGCAGCCGCGGUAAUACGGAGGGUGCAAGCGUUAAUCGGAAUUACUGGGCGUAAAGCGCGCGUAGGCGGUUUGUUAAGCGAGAUGUGAAAGCCCAGGGCUCAACCUUGGAACUGCAUUUCGAACUGGCAGGCUAGAGUACAAGAGAGGGUGGUAGAAUUUCCUGUGUAGCGGUGAAAUGCGUAGAUAUAGGAAGGAAUACCAGUGGCGAAGGCGGCCACCUGGCUUGAUACUGA